RNAcentral lists this ribosomal RNA (246 nucleotides) under uncultured bacterium. RNAcentral describes it as "partial 16S ribosomal RNA". It matches the Rfam family "Bacterial small subunit ribosomal RNA", at positions 15 to 253 of the family's 1533-position model. The record is from RNAcentral.
GAUCCUGGCUCAGGGUGAACGCUAGCUACAGGCUUAACACAUGCAAGUCGAGGGGCAGCAUGAACUUAGCUUGCUAAGUUUGAUGGCGACCGGCGCACGGGUGAGUAACACGUAUCCAACCUGCCGAUGACUUGGGGAUAGCCUUUCGAAAGAAAGAUUAAUACCCGAUGGCAUAGUUCUUCCGCAUGGUAGAACUAUUAAAGAAUUUCGGUCAUCGAUGGGGAUGCGUUCCAUUAGGUUGUUGGG